RNAcentral lists this ribosomal RNA (468 nucleotides) under uncultured bacterium. Its description in RNAcentral is "partial 16S ribosomal RNA". It matches the Rfam family "Bacterial small subunit ribosomal RNA", at positions 28 to 507 of the family's 1533-position model. The record is from RNAcentral.
GACGAACGCUGGCGGCGUGCUUAACACAUGCAAGUCGAACGGACAGGCCCUGCUCUUGUGGGGUGCUCGAGUGGCGAACGGGUGAGUAACACGUGAGUAACCUGCCCUUGACUUUCGGAUAAAUCCAGGAAACUCGGGCUAAUACCGGAUAGGAGCUACUGCUGCAUGGUGGUGGUUGGAAAGAUUCGGCGGUUGUGGAUGGACUCGAGGCUUAUCCGCUUGUUUGUGGGGUAGUGGCUUACCAAGGCUUUGACGGGUAGCCGGCCUGAGAGGGUGACCGGCCACAUGGGGACUGAGAUACGGCGCAGACGCCUACGGUAGGCAGCAGUGGGGAAUAUUGCACAAUGGGCGGAAGCCUGAUGCAGCAACGCCGCGUGCGGGAUGACGGCCUUCGGGUUAUAAACCGCUUUCGCCGGUAACGAAGCGUGAGUGACGGUAAUGGAUAAAGAAGCACCGGCUAACUACGUG